This 274-nucleotide ribosomal RNA is filed under the name uncultured bacterium. Its description in RNAcentral is "partial 16S ribosomal RNA". It matches the Rfam family "Bacterial small subunit ribosomal RNA", at positions 523 to 796 of the family's 1533-position model. The record is from RNAcentral.
AUACGAAAGGUGCAAGCGUUGCUCGGAUUUACUGGGCGUAAAGAGAGUGUAGGUUGUUUAUUAAGUCGGAUGUGAAAUCCCGGGGCUCAACCUCGGAACUGCAUUCGAUACUGGUAGACUAGAGUUCGGGAGGGGUAAGCGGAAUUCCGUGUGUAGCAGUGAAAUGCGUAGAUAUACGGAGGAACACCUGAGGCGAAGGCGGCUUACUGGACCGAUACUGACACUGAGACUCGAAAGCGUGGGUAGCAAACAGGAUUAGAAACCCCAGUAGUCC